This is a small nucleolar RNA of Ostrinia nubilalis (European corn borer), 133 nucleotides long. The record is from RefSeq and is a predicted model, not a curated record. NCBI's taxonomy places the organism in Eukaryota, Metazoa, Arthropoda, Insecta, Lepidoptera, Crambidae.
CUCUGGCCCGAUCGAAGCUGAGCAAAGCUUGUGUCUUGCAUCAGUCAAAGCGCGGCCUACAGUAGUCUUGACAUUAUGGUCGCAUGGUGUGUUAUCGAUACGUAAUCGUGCAUUACCCAUGUCAAGAACAAAG